RNAcentral lists this ribosomal RNA (497 nucleotides) under uncultured bacterium. RNAcentral's name for it is "partial 16S ribosomal RNA". It matches the Rfam family "Bacterial small subunit ribosomal RNA", at positions 28 to 507 of the family's 1533-position model. The record is from RNAcentral.
GACGAACGCUGGCGGCGUGCCUAAUACAUGCAAGUUGAGCGCUGAAGGUUGGUACUUGUACCAACUGGAUGAGCAGCGAACGGGUGAGUAACGCGUGGGGAAUCUGCCUUUGAGCGGGGGACAACAUUUGGAAACGAAUGCUAAUACCGCAUAAAAACUUUAAACACAAGUUUUAAGUUUGAAAGAUGCAAUUGCAUCACUCAAAGAUGAUCCCGCGUUGUAUUAGCUAGUUGGUGAGGUAAAGGCUCACCAAGGCGAUGAUACAUAGCCGACCUGAGAGGGUGAUCGGCCACAGUGGGACUGAGACACGGCCCAAACUCCUACGGGAGGCAGCAGUAGGGAAUCUUCGGCAAGGGACGAAAGUCUGACCGAGCAACGCCGCGGGAGGGAAGAAGGUUGUCGGAUCGUAAAACUCGGUUGGUAGAGAAGAACGUUGGUGAGAGUGGAAAGCUCAUCAAGUGACGGUAACUACCCAGAAAGGGACGGCUAACUACGUG